This 1168-nucleotide long non-coding RNA is filed under the name Sorghum bicolor (sorghum). Its description in RNAcentral is "long non-coding RNA (SBIC_LNC011082)". The record is from RNAcentral. Lineage: Eukaryota; Viridiplantae; Streptophyta; Magnoliopsida; Poales; Poaceae.
UGCCGGCGGCGGCGAAGGAGGCUUCUGGCAGCACUGGCACUGCUGGUGAGGAGGGCACUGCCACGGCCAGCUCUGGCACAUCCCAGGGUUCGGCACCAGGUACGGGUACGGCACGAACUUGUACUCCGUUUUGGGCGUCGCCGCCUUAGGCUUUUCCUCAGGCUUAGGCUUUUGCUCCUGCUUAGGCUUGGGCUUGCAGUGAUCACAGACACAGCAUUUCUCAGGCUUGGGCUUGCAGUGGUCACAGACACAGCAUUUCUCAGGCUUGGGAUUGCAAGGAUCGCAUGGCUUGGGUGGCUUGGGUGGAAUCGGCCAGACGUCCACGAUGAUGAUCUCCUUCACGACCUUACUCCCGGCCUUGCACCAGACCUUCUUGCAGAGCUUCUCGGCGUCGAAUUUCCCGCGCACCACCACCACCUUCUUCUCCUUCUUGUCCUCGAACUCCACCUUCUCGAUGCAGAAUUCCUCUGCACAUCAAUUGGAAAACAAAAGAUAAUUUGACUGCCCGAUUUGUUGUUGCAAGCACAGAUCAGAAUUCUGCCUCGUAAGCUAGUAGUUACAGUCUUAAUUAUGGUUAUUUAAUUAAACGCAGGAUUGUUCGGUAAUCUUCACGUUUCAUAUUAUGCCUAGACUGUGUGUGCUAAAACGUUUUCAGAUUCAGAUUGAUCAUUUGGUUUCAGAAGAAUCUUGCAAAGCAAGAUUGUUCAUACUUUCCUCUGCAAAACUGGGAAGCCCCAACGUCUUACCUUUAUUUGUUUCUUUCUUUAUUUUGUGAAAAUACGUUGCACUACAGCUUGAAUGAUAUCAGUUUCUUGGAGCAAGGAUUGUUCGUGGUCGUACUCUGCUUUCAUUCUAGGUCCAUAUGAAUGGCUGUAUUGUAUCUGUCUACAAUUGCAUCAUGGAAGUAUUCCCAUCUUUAUAUAGAUAGUAACAAAAAUGUACCUUUGAGACAGUCGAGGACUUUGGUGAUCUUGGCUCUACAGCGACAGCAGUCUAGGUCCACCGUAAUCACCAGUAUACCCAUCUGCAAACAAACAUGCAUGUGAAACAAAUAGUAUUGGCGAAUUGCCGAACAGAAAGUAGCAGAGCAUCAGCACAGCUCCUGCCAUCCUUUCAAGUGAAAAUCUAUGCUUUGGUAACGAUCUGAAACGAAAUGCUUCUUUUUCUG